UACGUAGGUGGCAAGCGUUGUCCGGAAUUAUUGGGCGUAAAGCGCGCGCAGGCGGUCUUUUCAGUCUGAUGUGAAAGCCCAGGGCUCAACCGGGGAGGGUCAUUGGAUACUGAGGGACUUGAGUGCAGAAGAGGAAAGUGGAAUUCCACGUGUAGCGGUGAAAUGCGUAGAGAUGUGGAGGAACACCAGUGGCGAAGGCGACUUUCUGGUCUGUAACUGACGCUGAGGCGCGAAAGCGUGGGGAGCAAACAGG
RNAcentral lists this unclassified non-coding RNA (253 nucleotides) under uncultured Caryophanales bacterium. RNAcentral describes it as "uncultured Bacillales bacterium contains 16S-23S intergenic spacer region". It matches the Rfam family "Bacterial small subunit ribosomal RNA", at positions 524 to 776 of the family's 1533-position model. Lineage: Bacteria; Bacillati; Bacillota; Bacilli; Caryophanales. The record is from RNAcentral.